GCCGCAGCCGGCCGAGCGGUCGGACUCGUAGCCCACCAGCGGCGUGCAGACCCCGUCGGCCACCUGGCCCACGAGCAGCAAGGUCCCCGCGUGGGUGGUGCUGUAGCCCAGCACGGCGUGGAAAUAGACCAGCAGGUAUGCACGGACAACAACAGAGAGGAAGGGCACAACCAAAGAGACAAGGGCUCUGAUUCUGUACGUCCAUGCGAAGCGAUUGCUAAACACCGAAGCAGGAUUCCCUGCUGUCACCAGCACGUGACACCCACUGACUCUGGUGUAAAUUACACAAGGUGCAAGGCAGGCAAGAAUCAAGCCAGAUGUCUCUUUUCCAAGAGAGUUACAACCUAAGGACCCAAUCCUGGAAACACUACCAGGCAUCUGGGCCCAGAUCCUCAAAGGAAAAAGACUUGUAUACAGGGGUCCCGCAAAAUCUAAUAGCCCCGGGCCCACAGGAGAGUUAAUCCGGCCCUCACUAUCUGGUAUUGGCCCCUGCAGGACAUCCGACUGGAUAGCAUGUGACGGGAUAGGGACGACGCUAUUUAUAAAGUAACUGUCCCAAGAAAACAACAUGGGCUGAGAAUGCGUUGCCAGAAUAUUGAACUGCCCACCUCUUCGCAGGGCUGAUCAGCUGACACAACUGAGAUGGAGGACGGUCUUGAAAUUAAAGCACCGGACUGUGAGUCAGGGCUCCUGACCUCUGGGCUUGGCUCUGCCACUGAUUCGCUGUGUGACUGUAAAUAAGGCCUUUAACCACUCCGUGCCUCAGUUUCCCCAUCUGCAAAAUGGAACGUAAGAAUGGCAUGCCAGGUCAGACCAAUGAUCCAUCUAACUUAGUAUCCUGUCUUCUGACAGUGGCAUGGGCCACCUGCUUCAGAGGGAGUGAACAGAACAGGGCAAUUAUCACGUGAUCCAUCCCCUGCCAUCCAGUCCUAGCUUCUGACAGUCAGAGGCUUAGGGACACCCAGUGCAUGGGGCUGCAUCCCUGACCAGCUUAGCUAAUAGUCAUUGGCAGACCUGUCCUCAAUGAACUUAUCUAAUUUUUUUUUAAACCCAGUUAUACUUUUGGCCUUCACAACAUCCCCUGGCAAUGAGUUCCACAGAUUGACGGUGUGUUGUGUGAAGUACUUUCUUAUGUUUGUUUUAAACUUUCUGGCUAUUCAUUUUGUUGGGGGAAUCUGUGAUUCAUGUGUUAUGUGAAGGAGUAAAUAACACGUCCUGAUUGAUUUUCUCCACACUAUUCAGGGUUUAUAGACCUCUAUUUUAUCCCUUCUUAGUCAUCUCUUUUCUAAGAUGAACAGUCCCAG
Non-coding RNA from Chrysemys picta bellii (western painted turtle), 1304 nucleotides. The record is from RefSeq and is a predicted model, not a curated record. NCBI's taxonomy places the organism in Eukaryota, Metazoa, Chordata, Testudines, Emydidae.